This 495-nucleotide ribosomal RNA is filed under the name uncultured bacterium. RNAcentral describes it as "partial 16S ribosomal RNA". It matches the Rfam family "Bacterial small subunit ribosomal RNA", at positions 28 to 507 of the family's 1533-position model. The record is from RNAcentral.
GACGAACGCUGGCGGCGUGCCUAAUACAUGCAAGUAGAACGCUGAAGGAGGAGCUUGCUUCUCUGGAUGAGUUGCGAACGGGUGAGUAACGCGUAGGUAACCUGCCUGGUAGCGGGGGAUAACUAUUGGAAACGAUAGCUAAUACCGCAUAAUAGUAGAUGUUGCAUGACAUUUGCUUAAAAGGUGCAAUUGCAUCACUACCAGAUGGACCUGCGUUGUAUUAGCUAGUUGGUGGGGUAACGGCUCACCAAGGCGACGAUACAUAGCCGACCUGAGAGGGGGAUCGGCCACACUGGGACUGAGACACGGCCCAGACUCCUACGGGAGGCAGCAGUAGGGAAUCUUCGGCAAUGGACGGAAGUCUGACCGAGCAACGCCGCGUGAGUGAAGAAGGUUUUCGGAUCGUAAAGCUCUGUUGUAAGAGAAGAACGAGUGUGAGAGUGGAAAGUUCACACUGUGACGGUAUCUUAACAGAAAGGGACGGCUAACUACGUG